CCUGCACCUGCCGGCGACCGGCGCACAGGUGAGUAACACGUAUGGAACCUGCCCGCCACAGGGGAUAACCCGGGGAAACCCGGCCUAAUACCCCAUGCCGCCGACCGGGCAUCCGGUCCGGGCGAAAGGAGGAAUCCGGUGGCGGCUGGGCAUGCGGCGCAUUAGCUUGACGGCGGGGUAACGGCCCACCGUGGCGACGAUGCGUAGGGGUUCUGAGAGGAAGGCCCCCCACACUGGAACUGAGACACGGUCCAGACUCCUACGGGAGGCAGCAG
RNAcentral lists this ribosomal RNA (275 nucleotides) under uncultured bacterium. RNAcentral describes it as "partial 16S ribosomal RNA". It matches the Rfam family "Bacterial small subunit ribosomal RNA", at positions 74 to 354 of the family's 1533-position model. The record is from RNAcentral.